UCCGGGGUAGCUCAGUGGUAGAGCGGGGCACUGUUAAUGCCUUAGUCGCUGGUUCGAAUCCAGUCCCCGGAGCCA
This 75-nucleotide transfer RNA is filed under the name Candidatus Saccharibacteria bacterium CG_4_10_14_0_2_um_filter_52_9. Its description in RNAcentral is "tRNA-Asn". It matches the Rfam family "tRNA". From Rfam's summary of the family: Transfer RNA (tRNA) molecules are approximately 80 nucleotides in length. Their secondary structure includes four short double-helical elements and three loops (D, anti-codon, and T loops). The record is from RNAcentral. Lineage: Bacteria; Candidatus Saccharimonadota.